Long non-coding RNA from Melitaea cinxia (Glanville fritillary), 585 nucleotides. RefSeq lists it as uncharacterized. Lineage: Eukaryota; Metazoa; Arthropoda; Insecta; Lepidoptera; Nymphalidae. The transcript is spliced from 2 exons. The record is from RefSeq and is a predicted model, not a curated record.
ACCUCGCCUCUGCCAGCGGAGGCGAUGUGUGUAUUCGUGUGGUGGGCGUUUAACGUCGUGAUCCUAUCGUUAGGGAGAUCAUUUAAGUACGAUCAUUUAAGACGUGCAUGUCUUUGUCGUGUCUGUAGUUUUCCUCUACUUAUGUAUUUGCAAGCCUCUCCUAUAAGAGGGUUUUGGUGAAUGCGCGCCUUUUCAAAAUACGCCGUAGGGAAUAUUUUGAGAUGCUUAGCGAUCGAAUCGAUCCUGAGGUCGCAAUGCAAGUCGACAUUACGCACGUACUACGGCGAGUGCGUAGCGUUUACCAGAAGAAAUGUAUAUUCAAAAUGGGUAAAUAAAACAGCAUAUACUUACAUCAAGACAUAUAUUUAAAAAAAAAACUGUCAAAAGGCACUUACACGGACGGAAUAAUGGAGCAAACGAUUUACAUUUUCAGUACAAAUAAUAAGUAGUUAUUGCCUAGAAUUGCUUACAGUCCAAUGUUUCUAUAAAAUUAUAUAAACGGAAUGACGACAUAUAACAUAAAUAAAAAAUGGACGACUUAUCACAGUAUUAAACAGACAAAUAAACAUGUAUAAAUCCAAAAAA